CUGGCGGCGUGCUAACACAUGCAAGUCGAACGCGAAAGGGACUUCGGUCCUGAGUAAAGUAGGCGCACGGGUGAGUAACGCGUAGAUAACCUGUCUUCAUGUCUGGAAUAAUACGCCGAAAGGGGUACUAAUACCGGAUAUUCUUGCUUUUCAUAAGUUAUGCAAGCAAAGGUGGCCUCUGCAUAUGCUACUGCAUGAAGAGGGGUCUGCGUACCAUUAGCUAGUAGGUGGGGUAAUGGCCUACCUAGGCGACGAUGGUUAGCGGGUCUGAGAGGAUGAUCCGCCACACUGGCACUGGAACACGGGCCAGACUCCUACGGGAGGCAGCAGUGAGGAAUAUUGCGCAAUGGGGGAAACCCUGACGCAGCGACGCCGCGUGAGUGAGGAAAGGCCUUCGGGUCGUAAAGCUCUGUCAAGAGGAAAGAAGUGUACAAUGGCUAAUACCUGUUGUAUCUGACGGUACCUCUAAAGGAAGCACCGGCUAACUCCGUGCCAGCAGCCGC
RNAcentral lists this ribosomal RNA (503 nucleotides) under uncultured bacterium. Its description in RNAcentral is "bacterial SSU rRNA". It matches the Rfam family "Bacterial small subunit ribosomal RNA", at positions 36 to 518 of the family's 1533-position model. The record is from RNAcentral.